Molecule: ribosomal RNA, 257 nt
Filed under: uncultured Rhizophagus
Lineage: Eukaryota; Fungi; Glomeromycota; Glomeromycetes; Glomerales; Glomeraceae
Description: partial large subunit ribosomal RNA
Rfam family: Eukaryotic large subunit ribosomal RNA
Source: RNAcentral
GAAAGAUGAAAAGAACUUUGAAAAGAGAGUUAAAUAGUACGUGAAAUUGUUGAAAGGGAAACGAUUGAAGCCAGUCGUACCUAUGGGUAAUCAGCCUUUUGGGUGUGAUUUUGUGGGGCUUGAGGAGUUAAACGCCUUCAUGCCUUGCAUAUUCGUGCACUUUGGGUGUACUUGCCCGUAUGGUUGGUUAACAUCAAUUUUGGUGGUCAUAAAAUGACUGGAGGAAUGUAGCUUCGAUCUCGUAUUGAAGUGUUAUA